This 218-nucleotide ribosomal RNA is filed under the name uncultured bacterium. RNAcentral describes it as "partial 16S ribosomal RNA". It matches the Rfam family "Bacterial small subunit ribosomal RNA", at positions 1284 to 1500 of the family's 1533-position model. The record is from RNAcentral.
CGUCUCAGUUCGGACUGUGGUCUGCAACUCGACCACACGAAGCUGGAAUCGCUAGUAAUCGCGAAUCAGCAUGUCGCGGUGAAUACGUUCCCGGGUCUUGUACACACCGCCCGUCACACCACCCGAGUCGUCUGCACCCGAAGUCGCUGGCCCAACCCUUGUGGAGGGAGGCGCCGAAGGUGUGGAGGGUAAGGGGGGUGAAGUCGUAACAAGGUACC